UUUGAGUUUGAUCCUGGCUCAGGACGAACGCUGGCGGCGUGCUUAACACAUGCAAGUCGAACGAUGAAGAGGAGCUUGCUCCUUGGAUUAGUGGCGAACGGGUGAGUAACACGUGAGCAAUCUGCCCUUGACUCUGGGAUAAGCGUUGGAAACGACGUCUAAUACCGGAUACGACCCUCGGAGGCAUCUCCUGGGGGUGGAAAGAAUUUUGGUCAAGGAUGAGCUCGCGGCCUAUCAGCUUGUUGGUGAGGUAAUGGCUCACCAAGGCGACGACGGGUAGCCGGCCUGAGAGGGUGACCGGCCACACUGGGACUGAGACACGGCCCAGACUCCUACGGGAGGCAGCAGUGGGGAAUAUUGCACAAUGGGCGAAAGCCUGAUGCAGCAACGCCGCGUGAGGGACGACGGCCUUCGGGUUGUAAACCUCUUUUAGUAGGGAAGAAGCGAAAGUGACGGUACCUGCAGAAAAAGCACCGGCUAACUACGUGCCAGCAGCCGCGGUAAUACGUAGGGUGCAAGCGUUGUCCGGAAUUAUUGGGCGUAAAGAGCUCGUAGGCGGUUUGUCGCGUCUGCUGUGAAAACCCGAGGCUCAACCUCGGGCCUGCAGUGGGUACGGGCAGACUAGAGUGCGGUAGGGGAGAUUGGAAUUCCUGGUGUAGCGGUGGAAUGCGCAGAUAUCAGGAGGAACACCGAUGGCGAAGGCAGAUCUCUGGGCCGUAACUGACGCUGAGGAGCGAAAGCAUGGGGAGCGAACAGGAUUAGAUACCCUGGUAGUCCAUGCCGUAAACGUUGGGAACUAGAUGUGGGGACCAUUCCACGGUCUCCGUGUCGCAGCUAACGCAUUAAGUUCCCCGCCUGGGGAGUACGGCCGCAAGGCUAAAACUCAAAGGAAUUGACGGGGGCCCGCACAAGCGGCGGAGCAUGCGGCUUAAUUCGAUGCAACGCGAAGAACCUUACCAAGACUUGACAUAUACGAGAACGGGC
RNAcentral lists this ribosomal RNA (984 nucleotides) under uncultured bacterium. RNAcentral describes it as "bacterial SSU rRNA". It matches the Rfam family "Bacterial small subunit ribosomal RNA", at positions 1 to 1001 of the family's 1533-position model. The record is from RNAcentral.